Molecule: long non-coding RNA, 1160 nt
Organism: Monopterus albus (swamp eel)
Lineage: Eukaryota; Metazoa; Chordata; Actinopteri; Synbranchiformes; Synbranchidae
Exons: 4
Source: RefSeq, a predicted model, not a curated record
CAAGACCCGGGGUCCUUGUGUUUGUGCAGACAUCAGCUGAUUUUGGCUUUGCCUCAGGCAGUGAGGAGCAGAGAGAGAUAAAGAGAGAAGAGAGAAAGAAACAGCCAGAGAGAAGGAGCAAAGUCAUCCACAUGGAAUUCGAAACUGGUGCAGGAUAAACACAACACGUGCAGAAACAAACUCUACCUUACAUAACAGAGAGGCUGAAUGGAGGAGGCAGCAUGGUGAGCACUUGUCAGAGUGUUAUGCAACACCAGAGAACAAAGACAAAUAAGUUGAAGUUCAAAAGAUGAAUGUUGUGGGAGAAUAAGCCAUGGACGGCCUUUCCCUUACGUCAGCCAUACAAUAGCCCGCCCGUCUGUGGAAGGGCAUCCCAGCGGACACAGCGGCUGGCAAAGGAAAUCCCUCUGCACCUGCUCACCCACACAAAGAAUAGCACAGGGUGACUAGCGGAAGUGACACAUGCAUUAACCUUUACUGUACACUCAAUCUAAUUACUGAGAAGAUUAAACAAGUCAGACAAUUAAAUUAGAAAUAAAUCAGUGAUGUUUCCAACAUUGUCACUACUUUAGUUUGAUUUCUUUAUGUAUAUAUAAGCUGAUGAUUGAAAACAUGCAGUCCAUGCUCUCAGAAAAGAACAGUGUGUGUUUAGUGGGAAGAGAUGCUUUUCCACACACUGCAUUAAUUGCACUGAAUCAGACUGGAGUGCGAUAUUACAGCAAAGAUCAUAAAACUCUUUGAAUCUAACAAGCAGCACUGUGCAUCUUUGUAGUGGUUACUGUGCUUUCCUCCUCUGCGGGAAACAAAACAAAACAAAAUCACAUGAAGGAAAAUCACAGCGCACACCUGAUACACCUGCUUUCAUUUUAGAUGGGCACUAAGGCUACCAGUUCUCUUGUGAACACGCUAUUGUAUAUACUGCCAACCCAGUACACAAUGGCAAGAGAAACUAAUCAGUGCUGUGAGCAGCUCCAUGUGGACAAGGCCUGAUCGUGCCAGAGGACAUGCUUGUCCACUCCAGGGAUGAAGUGCAUUUGUAUUAGAAUUGAGCAGUAUCCAAAAAUAACCCAUGUCUCCAGGGUCCCUUCCUGGUAGGUAAUGGAUGAGGGAUGGCACAGGACACUCAUGAUGCAAUUAACAGAAUCUGCAGGACUCAGGAA